Molecule: ribosomal RNA, 1203 nt
Filed under: Escherichia coli
Lineage: Bacteria; Pseudomonadati; Pseudomonadota; Gammaproteobacteria; Enterobacterales; Enterobacteriaceae
Description: partial 23S ribosomal RNA
Rfam family: Bacterial large subunit ribosomal RNA
Source: RNAcentral
CGACUAAGCGUACACGGUGGAUGCCCUGGCAGUCAGAGGCGAUGAAGGACGUGCUAAUCUGCGAUAAGCGUCGGUAAGGUGAUAUGAACCGUUAUAACCGGCGAUUUCCGAAUGGGGAAACCCAGUGUGUUUCGACACACUAUCAUUAACUGAAUCCAUAGGUUAAUGAGGCGAACCGGGGGAACUGAAACAUCUAAGUACCCCGAGGAAAAGAAAUCAACCGAGAUUCCCCCAGUAGCGGCGAGCGAACGGGGAGCAGCCCAGAGCCUGAAUCAGUGUGUGUGUUAGUGGAAGCGUCUGGAAAGGCGCGCGAUACAGGGUGACAGCCCCGUACACAAAAAUGCACAUGCUGUGAGCUCGAUGAGUAGGGCGGGACACGUGGUAUCCUGUCUGAAUAUGGGGGGACCAUCCUCCAAGGCUAAAUACUCCUGACUGACCGAUAGUGAACCAGUACCGUGAGGGAAAGGCGAAAAGAACCCCGGCGAGGGGAGUGAAAAAGAACCUGAAACCGUGUACGUACAAGCAGUGGGAGCACGCUUAGGCGUGUGACUGCGUACCUUUUGUAUAAUGGGUCAGCGACUUAUAUUCUGUAGCAAGGUUAACCGAAUAGGGGAGCCGAAGGGAAACCGAGUCUUAACUGGGCGUUAAGUUGCAGGGUAUAGACCCGAAACCCGGUGAUCUAGCCAUGGGCAGGUUGAAGGUUGGGUAACACUAACUGGAGGACCGAACCGACUAAUGUUGAAAAAUUAGCGGAUGACUUGUGGCUGGGGGUGAAAGGCCAAUCAAACCGGGAGAUAGCUGGUUCUCCCCGAAAGCUAUUUAGGUAGCGCCUCGUGAAUUCAUCUCUGGGGGUAGAGCACUGUUUCGGCAAGGGGGUCAUCCCGACUUACCAACCCGAUGCAAACUGCGAAUACCGGAGAAUGUUAUCACGGGAGACACACGGCGGGUGCUAACGUCCGUCGUGAAGAGGGAAACAACCCAGACCGCCAGCUAAGGUCCCAAAGUCAUGGUUAAGUGGGAAACGAUGUGGGAAGGCCCAGACAGCCAGGAUGUUGGCUUAGAAGCAGCCAUCAUUUAAAGAAAGCGUAAUAGCUCACUGGUCGAGUCGGCCUGCGCGGAAGAUGUAACGGGGCUAAACCAUGCACCGAAGCUGCGGCAGCGACGCUUAUGCGUUGUUGGGUAGGGGAGCGUUCUGUAAGCCUG